This is a long non-coding RNA of Loxodonta africana (African savanna elephant), 2664 nucleotides long. RefSeq lists it as uncharacterized. NCBI's taxonomy places the organism in Eukaryota, Metazoa, Chordata, Mammalia, Proboscidea, Elephantidae. The transcript is spliced from 2 exons. The record is from RefSeq and is a predicted model, not a curated record.
CUCCGCGGGCCUCCGCGGGCCGCAGGCGGGUGGACGGGCGCUUCUCGCUGGCGUUUCCUGACUUUGGUCGGGGCGGCGAAGCGCUCACCAGAUCAAAUACCUUCUUUUUUUUUUUUUUCGUUCUUUUGUAAAGCCAGAUGUCGUCUUUUUAAUUGGAAAAACAAAAUUCACAGAAAGUAGAAUGUCAUUUUCAGGGGCUGCACCUGGGAACCGGGCCCGUGCCCUGGCUCUAGUUGAAGAAUAAUCUCAUCUUGUUUGCCUGUCCGAUUCGUCGUCGUCUUUCUUUUUUCAUCCCUUCCUCCUCUCCCUUUCCCGCGAAGGUGAUGAGAGCUACCGGACUGGUUACCCGAACUUCCGGGCCCCUUGCCAAAGAAUGGAGCCAAGAAAGGUUGCUGUAGACAAACCCCCUGCUCAGUCCAGCACCUGUUUCCUCUCUUCCUGUACCACCAAAGGCCCUCGGUACAUUUGGAAAAAUGAGGUGCCACCUGGAGACAGCACUGCCUAGGCAGUACCAGAAGAUUUCAUUUAUAAAUGCACUAAGUUGAUUUUCUCUUAUAAGCCUAGUCUUGAUUUGAAAUUCCUUUUUAAAAAAUAAGUUUUUUCCUCAGCCAUCCUGAGGUUUUGCUCUACUAUAUCCAAAAAAAAAAAAGGGUUCAGAGAUUUCAAAGGAUUGCUAUGAAGGAAAAUAUGAUUUUAACAUUUGAGUUUUUCUUUGUAAAAGAUUUUCUCACAAAGGCAGUAUUGCAGUUGUGAAGGGGGAUGUUUGUUGACAGCAUUUAAGGAAUUGUAGCAAACAGAAGAGGUCACGGAAGAACGGAUAUAAAAGCAAAUUACCACACUGCAAAAAGGCAGAAAGGUGGAUUCCAGUAGACCACAAACUGCACCCAUACAGCUACCAUCAGCCCUAAAGAAGGACUUUUAACCUAGUAAUGCACACUGCCAUCACUGCUUCUGGUUAAGCAUCCCUACUUACUCCGAGAAGAAUGUGGCAUCAGGAUUGGAGGAAGACUCAUUAACAACCUGCCUUACACAGAUGACACAACCUUGCUUGCUGAAAGUGAAGAAGACUUCACUGAUGAAGAUCAAAGACCACAGCCUUCAGUAUGGAUUACACCUCAACAUAAAGAAAACAAAAAUCCUCACAACUGAACCUGUAAGCAACAUCAUGGUAAAUGGAGAAAAGAUUGAGGUUGUCGAGGAUUUCAUUUUACUUGGAUCCACAGUCAACACCGAGGGAAGCAGCUGCCAAGAAAUAAAAAGACUCAUUGCGUUGGGUAAAUCGGCUGCAAAAGACCUCUUUAAAGUGUUGAAAAGCAAAGAUGUCACUUUGUGGACUAAGGUGCGCCUGACCCAAGCCAUGGUGUUUUCAAUUGCCUUACAUGCAUGUGAAAGCUGGGCAAUGAAUAAGGAAAACUGAAGAAGAAUUGAUGCCCUUGAAUUAUAGUGUUGGUGAAGAAUAUUGACCAUACCAUGGACUGCCAAAAGAACCAACAAGUCUGUCUUGGAAGAAGUACAGCCAGAAUGCUCAUUAGAAGCGAGGAUGGCCAGACUAUGCCUCACAUACUUUGGACACGUUAUCAGGAGGGAUCAGUCCCUGGAGAAGGACAUCAUGCUUGGUAGAGGGUGAGCAAAAAAGAGGAAGACCCUCAAUGAGAUGGACUGACACAGUGGCUACAACAGUGGGCUCAAGCAUAACAAUGAUUUUGAGGAUGGCGCAGGAUGGGACAGUGUUUCAUUCUAUCCUACGUAGGGUCACUAUAAGUCAGAACCGAAUUAGCAGCACCUAACAACAAUGCUUACUCCAGAAAAUAACCUUAAUACUUCUAUUAUGUAUAAUAUGCUGCAUUAUUGUAAUUAUAAAUCUCAUAUCAGUUCUAUAUUAAUUAUUGAUUUUUGCUAUUUCAAAGAUUAGAUACUUGUUUCUGUUCAGAUUUUCUAGUUUGUGUCUUUGAUGAAAGCCUCAAAUCAGGAGUCUUACUGGAAAUGUAUUAAAACAAGAAUCUUGAUAAGAUGGCAUUAGUAAAAUUAAAAUGAAGCUCCUGGAAGCAAGAAACUUUGUCUUUUGCACAGUCUACAACUCUCGCAUUACCUAGUAUAGGGUAAGGAUCUAAGUACUACAGUUUAUUUAGUAUUUUCUUAAUGUUUGCCUAAAUGCAAACAAAAAGAAACCAAGAGUAGCAACAUUAAUAUAAGGUAUAGGAAAAUUAAGGCCAAAGCAUUACAUGUGAAGAAAAGGGAUAUUAUGUAAUGAUGAGAGGUACACUUUACAAAAUAACAACCUUAAUAAACUAUGCACUGGAUAAUGUAACCAAGUGCAAAAAUACCUAGCAAUUCAAGAGUUUGGUUAGAAGCAUUCACACACAAUUAUAAUGAGUUUAAUAAACCUCUUUCAGAAUUUUAACAGAUAAGUAGACAAAGCAAGGAUAGAUAAUAUGUUAAUACAAUCAACUGGCUUGAUUUUUAGCCAAAUAUAGAACUUUGUACCCCAUUAUAGAAGUGUGCAUUGUUUUCACACGACCCUGAAAGAUUUACAAAAAGCAAUCAAACACCUCUCAGUAAUUAAAGCUACCACAAAUGUUGGAGACAGAAAUUUUAUAGGCUACUUUUCUGAUUAUAAUCUAGUAUACCUAGAAAUCAGUGCUAAAAAAAAAAGAAGACCAUAAA